Molecule: unclassified non-coding RNA, 443 nt
Filed under: uncultured Megasphaera sp.
Lineage: Bacteria; Bacillati; Bacillota; Negativicutes; Veillonellales; Veillonellaceae
Description: partial contains 16S ribosomal RNA, 16S-23S ribosomal RNA intergenic spacer, and 23S ribosomal RNA
Rfam family: Bacterial small subunit ribosomal RNA (bases 1-152)
Source: RNAcentral
UGUACACACCGCCCGUCACACCACGAAAGUCAUUCACACCCGAAGCCGGUGAGGUAACCUUUUGGAGCCAGCCGUCGAAGGUGGGGGCGAUGAUUGGGGUGAAGUCGUAACAAGGUAGCCGUAUCGGAAGGUGCGGCUGGAUCACCUCCUUUCUAGGGAAAACCUAAGAAGUCGGCACUUUGGCAAUUCAUUCAUUGUUCAGUUAUGAGAGGCCAUCCUCUCAAUCGUACCUUGACAACUGCAUAAAAAUGUUAGAAAUACCUCUUUUUAAAAAGAGAUCUUAACGAACCUUGAAUUCUUGUUUAUAGAAAUUAGUCAAGUAAGUAAGGGCGUACGGCGGAUGCCUUGGCCAUAUCAGCCGAAGAAGGACGCGAUAAGCUGCGAUAAGCUGCGGUGAGGUGCAAGUAACCUUUGACCCGCAGGUCUCCGAAUGGGGAAACCCA